Small nucleolar RNA from Dendrobium catenatum, 96 nucleotides. NCBI's taxonomy places the organism in Eukaryota, Viridiplantae, Streptophyta, Magnoliopsida, Asparagales, Orchidaceae. The record is from RefSeq and is a predicted model, not a curated record.
GCUGGGCAAAUGAGGAAUCUCAUUUUCAUAAUGGGUAAUUUGCGUCUGAGGAUUCAAUUCCAUUGAUGCUUUCACCUUGGAGAUCUGAUGCCCGUU